RNAcentral lists this ribosomal RNA (253 nucleotides) under uncultured prokaryote. Its description in RNAcentral is "partial 16S ribosomal RNA". It matches the Rfam family "Bacterial small subunit ribosomal RNA", at positions 524 to 776 of the family's 1533-position model. The record is from RNAcentral.
UACGUAGGUGGCAAGCGUUGUUCGGAAUUACUGGGCGUAAAGCGCACGUAGGCGGAUUGUUAAGUCAGGGGUGAAAUCCCGGGGCUCAACCUCGGAACUGCCUUUGAUACUGGCAAUCUCGAGUCCGGAAGAGGUGAGUGGAAUUCCUAGUGUAGAGGUGAAAUUCGUAGAUAUUAGGAAGAACACCAGUGGCGAAGGCGGCUCACUGGUCCGGUACUGACGCUGAGGUGCGAAAGCGUGGGGAGCAAACAGG